GUAAUAUAUGUAAGUUAGUUAUAACAUAUGAGGUAUGUUUUCUUGGCGUGGUUGAUUUUGCAUAAGUGGUUUGAUUUGGUGACCUGAAAUGUUUGCAAAUUGGGUAUUGAUUUGAAGUGUAUCUGAGGAAUAGUUCAUUUUGGGAAUGUUUGCUGGUUAGUACAGAUUAUAUGGUAAAAGGAAUUUAUGUAGGGUGAAGAGAUUUGUAGGGUGGAUUGGAUUGGAAGAUGGGAAGUUGAUGAGGCGGAUUACCUAUAAGUAGGAGUUUGUUUGCAAAAUUCUAGUCUUUUGUUACAAGUUUCUUUAUGAUUAUUGCUUUUAAGUAUGAAUAUUUAUCUGUUUGUUUUAAAUAUAUAAAAUCAACUAGUCUUGAUAACCGGUGCUCUCAGGUAAUGUGGUUAAGGAAUCUAUAAAUAGAAAAUUUGUCUUGAACAAUCUUUUAAC
Molecule: long non-coding RNA, 444 nt
Filed under: Medicago truncatula (barrel medic)
Lineage: Eukaryota; Viridiplantae; Streptophyta; Magnoliopsida; Fabales; Fabaceae
Description: lncRNA gene24067
Source: RNAcentral